AACGAACGCUGGCGGCAUGCCUAACACAUGCAAGUCGAACGAGACCUUCGGGUCUAGUGGCGCACGGGUGCGUAACGCGUGGCAACCUGCCCUUAGGUUCGGAAUAACUCCCCGAAAGGGGUGCUAAUACCGGAUAAUGUCUUCGGACCAAAGAUUUAUCGCCUUUGGAUGGGCCCGCGUUGGAUUAGCUAGUCGGUAGGGUAAAAGCCUACCAAGGCGAAGAUCCAUAGCUGGUCUGAGAGGAUGAUCAGCCACACUGGGACUGAGACACGGCCCAGAAUCCUCCGGGAGGCAGCAGGGGUGAAUAUUGGACAAUGGGCGAAAGCCUGAUCCAGCAAUGCCGCGUGAGUGAUGAAGGCCUUAGGGUUGUCAAGCUCUUUUACCCGGGAUGAUAAUGACAGUACCGGGAGAAUAAGCUCCGGCUAACUCCGUG
This 433-nucleotide ribosomal RNA is filed under the name uncultured bacterium. Its description in RNAcentral is "partial 16S ribosomal RNA". It matches the Rfam family "Bacterial small subunit ribosomal RNA", at positions 29 to 507 of the family's 1533-position model. The record is from RNAcentral.